RNAcentral lists this ribosomal RNA (480 nucleotides) under uncultured bacterium. Its description in RNAcentral is "partial 16S ribosomal RNA". It matches the Rfam family "Bacterial small subunit ribosomal RNA", at positions 28 to 523 of the family's 1533-position model. The record is from RNAcentral.
GACGAGCGCUGGCGGCGUGCUUAACACAUGCAAGUCGAGCGAUGAAGUUUUUUCGGAAAUGGAUUAGCGGCGAACGGGUGAGGAACACGUGAAGAAUCUGCCCUCCACUUUGGGAUAACACAGGGAAACCUGUGCUAAUACCGAAUAUUGAAACAUAAGUGGCAUCACUGAGUUUUGAAAGAAUUUCUGUGGAGGAUGACUUCGCGGCCUAUCAGCUAGUUGGUGAGGUAAUGGCUCACCAAGGAAACGACGGGUAGCCGGCCUGAGAGGGCGACCGGCCACACUGGGACUGAGACACGGCCCAGACUCCUACGGGAGGCAGCAGUGGGGAAUAUUGGGCAAUGGAGGAAACUCUGACCCAGCGACGCCGCGUGCGGGAUGAAGGCCUUCGGGUUGUAACCGCUUUCAGUAGGGAAGAAGCGAAAGUGACGGUACCUACAAAAGAAGCAACGGCUAACUAUGUGCCAGCCGCCGCGGUAA